This 216-nucleotide ribosomal RNA is filed under the name Glomeromycotina sp. RNAcentral's name for it is "partial small subunit ribosomal RNA". The stretch from base 44 to 216 matches the Rfam family "Eukaryotic small subunit ribosomal RNA", at positions 690 to 864 of the family's 1831-position model. Lineage: Eukaryota; Fungi; Glomeromycota. The record is from RNAcentral.
GGGUCAGUAGGUUGGUCGUGCCACCGGUACGUACUGGUCUCACUGAUUCCUCCUUCCUGAAGAACCGUAAUGCCAUUAAUUUGGUGUUGCGGGGAAACAGGACUGUUACUUUGAAAAAAUCAGAGUGUUUAAAGCAAGCUAACGCUUGAAUACAUUAGCAUGGAACAAUGAAAUAGGACGAUCGAUCCUAUUUUGUUGGUUUCUAGGAUUGACGUA